This 1171-nucleotide long non-coding RNA is filed under the name Pavo cristatus (Indian peafowl). RNAcentral describes it as "lncRNA (ENSPSTG00000010591.1)". The record is from RNAcentral. Lineage: Eukaryota; Metazoa; Chordata; Aves; Galliformes; Phasianidae.
GCGGCAGUGACCGAGCUGGAGGCAGCACCUGUCUGCCUGGGGUGCUGCUUUUGGCACACGCUUCCUAUGUCCUGGUGGCAGUCAGACAGAUUUGUUGCAAGAAAAAAAGCUGGAAAGAGUUUAAAAGGCUGGAACUGGCACGGUGGGACCCCUGCAUGUUUCUGAAUGCAGGGAGGCCUUCUUAACCCCUUUAGACCUAAAGUACUUCCCUAUGCUAAGAAUGGCAUUUACUUCUGAAAGAGUACUUGUCUGAAUAACAGGGACCCGCGAUCAGGGGAUUUCCCCACGGCAAGGGGCUACACAAUCACUCGCUAAAAGGAACGAGUAAUAGGAUUGAAGCAAUUAAAGCUAGAAUAUCAUAUUUUAACCCAGUAAGUAGGGAAGAAAUAACUUAUUUAGACUGAGGAUCUGCAAAGCAGAAUGUCUUCACAACUUCCCCUGGGCUCCUCCAGGCUUUUUUCUCCUCUGUGGUGCUGAGGUUUCCAGGAUGCUGCUUUGAAUGCCGCCCUCCAACCCCACCGGCAAGAUGUUAAAUUGUGGCCGAAUUCUGCCCCCCAUUUCCCAACAGUGGGAUCCCGGCGUUCAGUGACUGCUGACCCCUUUAACAGCCACACACACACAAAAAAAGUAGAAGUUCAACUCUAUGGAAACCUGCAUAAAGGAAUGUACAGCAAUUUUGCAUUUGGGGGGGUGAGAGGGGGGGAAAUUCAGCCAAACUGAGUUCCUCAUUCACUGAUUAUUACAGCAAGGGGCCGACCCUUUUCAUGCUGAAUGCUUGCCAAAAUCUCAAAACAAGCGGCAGAGGUCGGAGCUGCUCAGCGCCUGCCAGGAGCAGCCCCUGCGUGGCAGUGCCCGGGGAGCGCCAGAUUGAGGGUCGGUUGCCCAGAUGCGUGUUUCAGCCAUGCGGGAGCAGAGCGGGGCUCUGAAGGACCAGGUACAUGUUGGUGGCAGACAGAGCAGUUUUUUGUUCUGCUAUGGCCAUCUCCAUCCAGAGGGAUCUUCUCCCAGGACAGCAUGAGGAGUCCACCUGCAGUGCAGCAGGGCCUGAUGAACUGCAGCACUCGCUGUUUGGUGGCAGGGCUGGAGAUGAGCAGCCCUGGUGUGGUGGCUGCCGGCAUAGCAAUGGGGUGAACGCAGCAGGCCUUCUGUGAGUCGUGAGAUAAACCAUCUC